AAACACUGCAUGACCCCUUCAGUCCUGU
This 28-nucleotide non-coding RNA is filed under the name Mus musculus (house mouse). The record is from RNAcentral. Lineage: Eukaryota; Metazoa; Chordata; Mammalia; Rodentia; Muridae.